This 73-nucleotide transfer RNA is filed under the name Spirulina sp. SIO3F2. RNAcentral describes it as "tRNA-Arg". It matches the Rfam family "tRNA". From Rfam's summary of the family: Transfer RNA (tRNA) molecules are approximately 80 nucleotides in length. Their secondary structure includes four short double-helical elements and three loops (D, anti-codon, and T loops). Lineage: Bacteria; Bacillati; Cyanobacteriota; Cyanophyceae; Spirulinales; Spirulinaceae. The record is from RNAcentral.
GCUCCGGUAGCUCAAUGGAUAGAGCAACCGCCUUCUAAGCGGUCGGUUACAGGUUCGAGUCCUGUCCGGAGCG